Nothobranchius furzeri (turquoise killifish) is the source of this 4770-nucleotide non-coding RNA. The record is from RefSeq and is a predicted model, not a curated record. Lineage: Eukaryota; Metazoa; Chordata; Actinopteri; Cyprinodontiformes; Nothobranchiidae.
UAGUUUUAUUAUGCCCUUCUUUCAACACAUGCCAUGUAUUUUGUCAACGAAAGUGCUAAAGUGAAGAGUUUUAGUUUGAGGUUAUUUUCAGUGUGGUUACAUUUGUGUGUCCUCACCAGGUGCGUCAGAAGCAUAAAAAUGUGGGGGUUAGUCCCCCAAUGAGGGGCUUCCCACAGAAAACACUAUUAUGGUGUAGAUGGCAUUUUCUGCAUUAUAGUGCAUUUUGCUUACAGUAGUUAAACCUUAAAGGAGCAUGGGGCAGAAUUGUCCAAAAACAAAAAGUAAAUGUUCAUUCUUGUGAAGCUUAUGGGUGAUGAAGCAUUUUAAACUAAAAAGAAUGAUAAAACCAGUUUAUCAUUCCAUUUUGUUAAACAGGCUGUGUGCUUCAAAAUGCAAAACAUGUCGCAUCCGAAUUUCCCGCGCUGUUUUAAGGAUGUGACGUUAUUUGACGCUUCAAGCGCAUUCUCGACAAGGUUCAAACCCGGAAAAACAUUUGGAAGCUUGCUAGGUGGCGGUAAUGCGUCUUUCACUACUAGCCACGUUAAAACCUCAAACAGAAGAGGAAGAACCCUGGAAAUGGAUUCUACAACUAGCAAACGACCAAGCGCAACUCAAAGCCCACUAAAGAGUGGCACAAAGAAAAAGGUUUUAUCAGCGGCAUGUCGAGAGUCAAAAAGAAAAUAUGAUAAAAGUCGGUCAGGGACCCGAAUAUCUAUUGGUUACGCUCUGGAAAAAUGGAGGCUGCUUCAACUGGAUUUGGUGCCUGAAAAAGGAUGCGGACAUGGCACAUUUUCUAGUGACCAGCUACCAGGAGAAGCAGGCUCCUGAAACUGCAAUUCAGGGAGGUAAUGUGCAGUCAACCUCAACACCCAGUAAGCGAACAGCAGCUAAAAUGUUGCAUCGAUUAUCUCCAACUGAACCUGUGUCUGAGGGGUUAGUAUCUUUUCUGUAAAACAAAUAUUCACGUUUUUGUGCUAUGAUAUUUCAUACAUUAAAUUACACCUUGCAUAUCCACACUUGGUUCAGAACUAACAUCACACCACCAAACACUUCUGACAUUAUCUUUACAGUGAAGAUUUUCUAAUGGCUGGUGUUGAGGCCUUAGCUGAUGACCUAGAUUUGGAUCCUGUUACAACCAGGUGUCUAGGGGGCCUGGGGUAACAUGGAGGACGCGUGACACAAAGGAAAAUUAACAAAGGUUUUAUUUACUUUCUCUUAAUUCAGAAAAGAUGACUAUUAUUCUUUUAACCACCACGGAUCUAAAUCCACUUUUACCAAAACAGGUUCAAACAGUAAGAGCACAAUACCGAAGUUCUAAGUGGGAGACAACAGACCAGAGGAAAGGCAGCUCUGCACUAUUGUCCCCAUUGGUGAGGAGCUCCAGCUGGUCCUUUAAACAAUUUGCGGCUGAUGAAAACCCAGCUCAGCUGGUGCAGGGAGGAGCAAGUGUGAGCCAACAUAGUCUGCAGGCAGGCUCCUCAGAUGAAACAUAAAAUGCACAGAAAAAUGAAAUCACAACACAAAAAGGCUCCAGCCGUAACACUUCCCCCCAUAAAGCCUAAGGUCUACACCUUUGGGUACAAAAAACAAAACAACAAACACUGCUACAUCUCAUUCUCCAGGUUGGGCUAAACCAAAAUCUUUUCUGUGCCUUUGCUGCUUGUCAUCUUACUUAAUAAGUGGCCAAAGCACGGAAUUUGUAAAGCGAAGGUCUCUGUACACUACUCACGGAUAAAUCAUAAUGGUUUCUUUUUAUUUUUCCUCUUUAUUUUGGCUGGUCCACAAAACCCAGCAUCAAACACGGGCGGCUCAGGCUCAGCAGCACGUCUGUCCAUUUCACAGGAGCCUGUGUUUUUGUUUCCUGCAAUGAGACCUUUAGGAGUAGAAACUGACAUGUUUUCUACUCCCUUAGCUUGAGGUUUUGACCAGGCAGGUGGAACCACCAAGUCCCCGGCGAUGUCAUUUCCCAACAGGAGAACGACGCCAUCCACUGGUAGGGAGCGACAGACAGCAAUGUUAAAAUAUCCUGUGACGAGAUCAGAUGUUAAAAACACACGAUGGACAGGCCUCUGAAAGGACGGGGGCGCAAUCCCUUUAACAACUACUUUAAAACCACAAGCUCUUCUUCCAGAAAAGGGUAAUGCCGAACUCAGAAUGAGAGAAUGAGAUGCCCCAGUGUCCCUCAGGAUUUUUAUCGGUACAGGCCUAUCAUCAGCCGACAAUGAAACAAAUCCAGAAAAUACAAAUGGCUUAGAACAGGAUCCCACAUCCCGUUCCCCAACAGUAACAUGGGCUGAACAGGUAAAAACCUCAACAUUGUCAGGCUGUUCUUGUCUUACAUUCUUGGCCUGGAGAAUGGGACAGUCCUUUAUGACAUGACCAGGCUUGUGACAAUAAAAACACAGAGCAGGUUCAGGAACGACAUUCGUUAUGUCUGCCUCAGCAGGCGGCCCAGGUGAGGGUCUUCUGUUGGGAUCAAAGUUCACCCUGUGAGUUAACACAAACUCAUCUGCGAGCUGCGCUGCAGCAGACAAUGACGUCACCUUCUGCUCGUUUACAUACUGAACCACUUUAUCAGGGAUGCAGCGUUUAAAUUCCUCAAGGAGCAGGAGCUCACGCAAAGUAGCAAAGUCUUUUACCUUGGAGGAAUUACACCAUUUAUCGAAUAGAACCGUUUUUACUCGAGCAAAGUCUAUGUGUGUCUGUGCAGAGUUUUUCCUGGAAAGUCUGAAUUUCUGGCGAUAGGCUUCUGGCACCAACUCAUAUGCCUGUAAAACUGCAGUUUUAACGGUGUCAUAAUUAUUGCUAUCCGAGACAGAGAGAGUGGCUACAACCUCGGAGGCUUUACCUGUGAAUCUGCACUGCAGCAGAAGAGGCCACACAUCCCGCGGCCAAUUAAGCGCCGUUGCGAUGCGUUCAAACGCAGAGAAGUAGCAGUCAACCUCAGAUUCCCUGAAAACAGGCAUCAACGCCAUGCAGUUACUGAUAUUAAAAGAGUCUUGCGGUGGGGAACUCACCGGAGAUGUCUCUUUCUCAGCCUUCACAGCCUCGUGUUCAAGUUCAAGUUUGCGGAGCCGCAAUUUUGUAUCAGCUUCCAGUUCCAGCUUUCUCAUCUCAAACUCCAGCUGUCUGCGCUGGGCUCUGUCCUCAGCGUCCAAACGGAGUUGCUCAAUCCUCAGCCUGAAUUCGGCUGGAGUCACGUCCUCAUCAGAGUCAGCCGGGUCGGCGUCUCCAGCAGCUGUAACCAGUCUGUCUCUGUCAUCAGGUGCUGCAGGGCUGACAGGGGGCGGGGUCGCCAGGGGAGGUUCAGCAUGUACACGGGCCUCCGCAGGCGAGGCAGCCUGUUGCCGAGUAAGCAGGCCCAAGUCCUCCAAGCCACUGAUUACCACCUCCUGCAGCUCCACCUUUAACAUUGAGCUGUCCACCUGAAAUCCAAAGUGAUCCGCCACGUCCAGCAGAUCCCGCUUGCGACAGGCACCAAUCAGUCCACGGGAUGGGGCCUCCACAAACUGCGCUAAAUCAAAAGUAGCCAUAACUGGUAAAACACUGAUACACACAAAUGAUCACGCAUCCAACCUCAGUUUAGGGGUACUUAAUGAUCCCGGACGAGCCCCCAUAUGUUACAACCAGGUGUCUAGGGGGCCUGGGGUAACAUGGAGGACGCGUGACACAAAGGAAAAUUAACAAAGGUUUUAUUUACUUUCUCUUAAUUCAGAAAAGAUGACUAUUAUUCUUUUAACCACCACGGAUCUAAAUCCACUUUUACCAAAACAGGUUCAAACAGUAAGAGCACAAUACCGAAGUUCUAAGUGGGAGACAACAGACCAGAGGAAAGGCAGCUCUGCACUAUUGUCCCCAUUGGUGAGGAGCUCCAGCUGGUCCUUUAAACAAUUUGCGGCUGAUGAAAACCCAGCUCAGCUGGUGCAGGGAGGAGCAAGUGUGAGCCAACAUAGUCUGCAGGCAGGCUCCUCAGAUGAAACAUAAAAUGCACAGAAAAAUGAAAUCACAACACAAAAAGGCUCCAGCCGUAACAGAUCCUUUUGAAGAAAGGUAAAUAUGUUCAUGAGAAGUCUUGCUAUAUAUGCAGGAAAUUACUGCUGUAAUAUGUGUAAAAAAGAUAAAAACACAAUAGUUCAGCAAAUAUAUGUCAUUAUAUAUAUUUAUGUUGUGAAGUGUCAAUUCACAGCAGAUUGUUGUUAUUUGCAGAAAGAAUUAAUGACAGAUGUAUUAGGCUCCAUAUUUAUCUCUUUAGAAUCAGUACCAUUUCAGGUAAGUUCCAGUAUUUAUCUUUACGUACAACAAAUAUUAUUGUGUUGUCUGUAGUUUCAAAUCCAUGGAUCUAGCUACGGAUGCAGUCCAAAUUGAUGAGGACCAAGCAAACGACUUACUCAACAGUGUGCUGGGAUCCUAAAGGGAAUUUCCAUCCUACUUGUGUGGCUGAAUGACAUCUUCAACCAAUUUUGGUACAUUUGUCAGAAAGCACAACAUCGUGAUAUGUUUAAUGACAUGUGGGUGGGUGUGCUUCACCAUGUCACAGGGAAGCAUGAAUGGACCCAUGGCAAAUGUGACCAUGGACCACUUGAUGCAACGUGGCAUGGUGCCAGGAUCUCCACCACACAAGGCUCUUCAACGAAUCAUGUUCAACAGACACUGGUUGAAGGAUGCCACCAAUCUGACCUUUAGGCCCCAGCUACGUGAAGCAUCAAAAGACAGGAAUGACUUCUUUCAUGCACACAGAUUUAUUAGAAAUUAAGAAAACAUACUAUGUAC